UGAGGAAUAUUGGUCAAUGGGCGCGAGCCUGAACCAGCCAUCCCGCGUGGAGGAAUAAGGCGUUAUGCGUUGUAAACUCCUUUUAUAUAGGGAUAAACCUACUCUCGUGAGAGUAGCUGAAGGUACUAUAUGAAUAAGCACCGGCUAACUCCGUGCCAGCAGCCGCGGUAAUACGGAGGGUGCAAGCGUUAUCCGGAUUUAUUGGGUUUAAAGGGUCCGUAGGCGGGUUAGUAAGUCGGGGGUUAAAAC
Molecule: ribosomal RNA, 249 nt
Filed under: uncultured Chryseobacterium sp.
Lineage: Bacteria; Pseudomonadati; Bacteroidota; Flavobacteriia; Flavobacteriales; Weeksellaceae
Description: partial 16S ribosomal RNA
Rfam family: Bacterial small subunit ribosomal RNA
Source: RNAcentral